This 469-nucleotide ribosomal RNA is filed under the name uncultured bacterium. RNAcentral describes it as "SSU rRNA". It matches the Rfam family "Bacterial small subunit ribosomal RNA", at positions 26 to 523 of the family's 1533-position model. The record is from RNAcentral.
AGCCUGAACGCUGGCGGCGUGGCUAAGACAUGCAAGUCGUACGGGUGUAGCAAUACACCAGUGGCGGACGGGUGAGUAAUGUAUCGCUAACGUACCCCGGACUCUGGGAUAGCUGCCCGAAAGGGCAGGUAAUACCAGAUGACAUAUCCUUAUCGCAUGAUGAGGAUCUCAAAGGGAAACCGUUCUGGGAGCGGGCGAUAUCGUAUCAGCUAGUUGGUAGGGUAACGGCCUACCAAGGCGACGACGCGUAGCCGGACUGAGAGGUUGGCCGGCCACAUUGGGACUGAGACACUGCCCAGACUCCUACGGGGGGCUGCAGUAACGAAUCUUCCGCAAUGCACGCAAGUGUGACGGAGCGACGCCGCGUGUGGGACGAAGUCCUUCGGGAUGUAAACCACUGUCAGGGGUUAGAAGUUCUGAUCAACCCCAGAGGAAGGCACGGCUAACUCUGCGCCAGCAGCCGCGGUAA